GUCCUACGGGGGGCAGCAGUGGGGAAUAUUGGACAAUGGGCGAAAGCCUGAUCCAGCAAUGCCGCGUGAGUGAUGAAGGCCUUAGGGUUGUAAAGCUCUUUUACCAGGGAUGAUAAUGACAGUACCUGGAGAAUAAGCUCCGGCUAACUCCGUGCCAGCAGCCGCGGUAAUACGGAGGGAGCUAGCGUUGUUCGGAAUUACUGGGCGUAAAGCGCACGUAGGCGGCGAUUCAAGUCAGAGGUGAAAGCCCGGGGCUCAACCCCGGAACUGCCUUUGAAACUAGAUUGCUAGAAUCCUGGAGAGGCGAGUGGAAUUCCGAGUGUAGAGGUGAAAUUCGUAGAUAUUCGGAAGAACACCAGUGGCGAAGGCGACUCGCUGGACAGGUAUUGACGCUGAGGUGCGAAAGCGUGGGGAGCAAACAGGAUUAGAUACCCCGGUAGUC
RNAcentral lists this ribosomal RNA (442 nucleotides) under uncultured Sphingomonadaceae bacterium. Its description in RNAcentral is "bacterial SSU rRNA". It matches the Rfam family "Bacterial small subunit ribosomal RNA", at positions 335 to 795 of the family's 1533-position model. Lineage: Bacteria; Pseudomonadati; Pseudomonadota; Alphaproteobacteria; Sphingomonadales; Sphingomonadaceae. The record is from RNAcentral.